This 450-nucleotide ribosomal RNA is filed under the name uncultured Glomeromycotina. RNAcentral's name for it is "SSU rRNA". It matches the Rfam family "Eukaryotic small subunit ribosomal RNA", at positions 569 to 1024 of the family's 1831-position model. Lineage: Eukaryota; Fungi; Glomeromycota. The record is from RNAcentral.
AGCAGCCGCGGUAAUUCCAGCUCCAAUAGCGUAUAUUAAAGUUGUUGCAGUUAAAAAGCUCGUAGUUGAAUUUCGAGAUCAAUUUGUUGGUCGUGCCUCGGUACGUACUGGCAAUUUUGAUUUCUCCCUUCUGAAGAACCAUGAUGUCAUUAAUUUGGUGUCAUGGGGAAUCAGGACUGUUACUUUGAAAAAAUUAGAGUGUUUAAAGCAGGCUCGCGCUUGAAUACAUUAGCAUGGAAUAAUGAAAUAGGACGUUUGAUUCUAUUUUGUUGGUUUCUAGGAUCGACGUAAUGAUUAAUAGGGAUAGUUGGGGGCAUUAGUAUUCAAUUGUCAGAGGUGAAAUUCUUGGAUUUAUUGAAGACUAACUACUGCGAAAGCAUUUGCCAAGGAUGUUUUCAUUAAUCAAGAACGAAAGUUAGGGGAUCGAAGACGAUCAGAUACCGUCGUAGU